This 603-nucleotide ribosomal RNA is filed under the name Novosphingobium marinum. RNAcentral describes it as "bacterial SSU rRNA". It matches the Rfam family "Bacterial small subunit ribosomal RNA", at positions 67 to 716 of the family's 1533-position model. The record is from RNAcentral. Lineage: Bacteria; Pseudomonadati; Pseudomonadota; Alphaproteobacteria; Sphingomonadales; Sphingomonadaceae.
CGAGACCUUCGGGUCUAGUGGCGCACGGGUGCGUAACGCGUGGGAAUCUGCCCUAGGGUGCGGAAUAACUCGGAGAAAUCCGUGCUAAUACCGCAUAAUGUCUUCGGACCAAAGAUUUAUCGCCCUGGGAUGAGCCCGCGUUGGAUUAGCUAGUUGGUGGGGUAAAAGCCUACCAAGGCGACGAUCCAUAGCUGGUCUGAGAGGAUGAUCAGCCACACUGGGACUGAGACACGGCCCAGACUCCUACGGGAGGCAGCAGUGGGGAAUAUUGGACAAUGGGGGAAACCCUGAUCCAGCAAUGCCGCGUGAGUGAUGAAGGCCCUAGGGUUGUAAAGCUCUUUUACCCGGGAUGAUAAUGACAGUACCGGGAGAAUAAGCUCCGGCUAACUCCGUGCCAGCAGCCGCGGUAAUACGGAGGGAGCUAGCGUUGUUCGGAAUUACUGGGCGUAAAGCGCGCGUAGGCGGCGAACCAAGUCAGAGGUGAAAUCCCGGGGCUCAACCCCGGAACUGCCUUUGAAACUGGUUUGCUAGAAUCUUGGAGAGGCGAGUGGAAUUCCGAGUGUAGAGGUGAAAUUCGUAGAUAUUCGGAAGAACACCAGUGGC